This 373-nucleotide ribosomal RNA is filed under the name uncultured bacterium. RNAcentral's name for it is "bacterial SSU rRNA". It matches the Rfam family "Bacterial small subunit ribosomal RNA", at positions 525 to 896 of the family's 1533-position model. The record is from RNAcentral.
ACGUAGGUACCGAGCGUUAUCCGGAUUUACUGGGCGUAAAGCGUGUUCAGGCGGUCUAGCAAGUCGGGCAUGAAAUCUCUGGGCUCAACCCGGAGGGGUUGUCCGAAACUGCUGGGCUUGAGGGCAGCAGAGGGUGGUGGAAUUCCGGGUGUAGUGGUGAAAUGCGUAGAUAUCCGGAGGAACACCAGUGGCGAAGGCGGCCACCUGGGCUGUUUCUGACGCUCAAACACGAAAGCUAGGGGAGCGAACGGGAUUAGAAACCCCGGUAGUCCUAGCCGUAAACGAUGUUGACUAGGUGUCGACGGUCUAAACCCCGCCGGUGCCGGAGCUAACGCACGAAGUCAACCGCCUGGGGACUACGGCCGCAAGGUUA